Molecule: long non-coding RNA, 3103 nt
Organism: Drosophila mojavensis
Lineage: Eukaryota; Metazoa; Arthropoda; Insecta; Diptera; Drosophilidae
Exons: 2
Source: RefSeq, a predicted model, not a curated record
AAAAACCAAAACGUGCUAGCACAUUUCGUCGUAUUUAUACAAAUUUAAAGCAUUCACCCAGCAGGCGGCGGGUGGGUGAGUACUCAAAAUUUACGAGUAUUUCCAUGGCUGCCAGCGACGAUAAACCAAACCAGUCGAAAGCAAUAACGACGAGCCAAUGCCAAUAGACAGCGGACAGCGGACAGCGGACGGCGGACGACCGCAAAGGACUAAACAUGACUAGACUACUUGUGCACUAUAGAGCAUCGGCUGGAAGCUAGUUGAAGGACACACACAGCCGGAUGCCGCUCGCCCAGUCGCUAGACAAAGGGGGCGUGCCCGGCGUAGGCAGCACGGCCGUCCAGUUGCCAGUUGGCAGUUGGCAGUUGCCAGUUGCCAGUUGCCAGUUGCCGGUGUCUGGCCUUUGGCCGCCUCUGCUGUUUGGUCUGUGUCCAGGCCGGUCAAUGACAGCUAAAGUUUUUCAAACUAACCUCGAAACGAUAAAAAAUUAAAGCAACAGUAAAUGAGAGACGCGCAGACAGAGCAGGCGGACGAGGCAGACGGAACAGCGCUGGCCGGAGGAGCAGGCAGAGGAUUCUGAGGAGGGGCCAAGAGCAUUUACUGCAACAAAAUGCCGCAAUGGGCUGUUAUUAUAAUGAAAACGAAGCACAGAACCUGCCGCAGUAAAAACGGCAAUGAGUAGUUGCUUUUGUGGCAAGCGGAGCACCCCUAACGGUGCAUAGCCAACGUCAAGUUGCCAUUAAUUUUCAAGUGCAAUGUCUGUAUUCGUAUGCCUCUUCCCUCGGUCCCCCUCCCCUCAGCCUAUGGCUCUCAAUACACUCGUCGCGAUAUGCAAAGAAGGCGCACAAAAGUAUGCUAUAAAAUUAGUUGAUUUACAGAGGGAAAACGAAAAACAGCUCAAAAUAAUUUCUCGUUUGCCUGCCUUUACCCCGUGAUACGGAAAACUUUAAAUGCAGGCCAGAGGCAUUCAACAAUGUCAGAAUGACAGCCUUAAAGCUUUAAACGGCAUUGUUCUGCGCUCUUUCAGCGUGUUCAAGACUGUAAAACACGUCCGGAAUUGGGUGAAUCACGGCGGAGCGGCCAACGGGCCAGCAUCACCCUAUCAAUAUGUUGACUUUUGUUCAACUGUUUUAUUUAAUUUCGUUGCUUUUUUUACCUUGCUUUUUGGACGAAAACUCGACCGUGCGCUACAGCAAUUUAUGAAAUUUCCCUCGCAUAUAUGCAUAUAUACAUAUGCAUAUAUACCCUAUAUAUAUAUUUGUAUAGUACAAAUAUAUUUUUUAACUCUUUCCCCAAAGUUAUAUGUCGCUUUCUGAAACCUCGUCUGUGUGUGUGUCUGUGUGUGUGUGUGUGUGUGAGUAGUACCAAUCGCACCGAAUUCACUUUUUUUCGUAUUUCCAAAUGGUGCAUAAGCAUUUUUUCAUGUUCGGCCAAAUAAAAAAUGGAGAAAGCAAAUAAAAGCAUCUGGAGUCCGGAAAAAUUUGAAACUAUGGCAAUAUAUGGACGAGCUUUAUGCAGAGUAUUGUAUAUGCAGUUCAGAUAUCCUGCAUUCAAUGGAACUGGGCCCUCAAACACCUUUAGAAUAUACUGCAGCCUCAGUCUCAUGAUUAGUUUUGGGAUCGAGCUGAGCGAGAAUUGUGAACCUCUAUUGAGGAAUCACUGGUAACAGGGUAACUACUCGUCGAUCAGCGAGGACUCAAGACUUUCGUCUGUUUAUUUUUGCAUGCAUAUCAAGUGAGGCAAAAUAUUUUAUGGCCGUUCACUUAGCCUCUCCAGCCACAACUCUCCUCCGCACAGUCAUCGAAUGCAACUCGGAUUCAACUUUUGCUCCUGGGCUGGGCCUCGGCGCUUUUCUCCAAAUGGGUGCCAAAAGUCAACAAAUAAUAUUUUUGCAUAAAAAUCGUCACUGAAAUGAAAAUAUUCGGAUGCAACCAUGCAAAUGGCAUGGAUAGUCGACGUAGGCUUAAAAGCCCGACAAACCAAACAGGCCCUACAUAUAUGUGUGUGUGUCUGUGUGUGUGUAUGUGUGUGUGUGGGAGAGGGAAAUCUCAAUUUGCACAAAAUUUAAUCAAUAUAUGCCUGCUGCACCACUAUGGCUAUGCUCUAUGCGAGCUGCAACCUCUGCGCCGAGUUCAUUGUGGGCUGCUUAUAAAUUUAUGCACAUAUGCAAAUAGAAUUUUCAAAAUUGUCAUUUAAUUGCACUUUAGACAGCACCAAGGCCCAAAAAUGAUAUGCAAAAUGCGAACGGCGCUUCACUCUGUUCAAUAUUAAUGCGUUUCAUUCAAGGACCUGCAGCCAUUGUGCAAUGCUCUUUAAAGGCUUUAACUAGCGCCAGUCCGAGUUUCACAUUACGAUUACGAAAGCAACUGAGACAAUGUGAAACAAAGCAAAAAGCAAAAUGAGAGCCGAAAAGAGAAAUGAGAGAACAGAAAUUUAAUGGGACGCAGCGAAUUCUAGAUAAAGCUUGGCACACAUACAAAGCACACACACGCAAAGGGUGUGGGAGCGAGGAGAGCGGGAGGGGAGCGGGAGAGGAGCUUGCAUGUGAAAGAGUCAACAAAAGGCGGUAUUCAACAAAAACACAAAUACACGCACGCGUAAGCAAACUGCCCAACAGCCAGAAAGUAUGGUUUACAACUGUAUAGCACACACAUGCAUACAUAACAAUACACACACACACACACACACACACACACACACACACACACACACACACACGCACACGCACAGUGGAGUGUAUGUUGUUCUGUUUCUCAUCUUGCGUGUUACUUUUACUCACAUUUCCAGCAGCUUUUUGUGAAUUCCAUCAAAGCCAAUUGUCCUGCAUAUCUCUCUCUCUACCUCUCUCUCUCUCUCUCUCUCUCUAUCUAUCUCUAUCUCCCUGUCUCUCUUUCGCUCUCUAGCUAUCACUGUGUGCGCUUAUCACAAUUUAUUAUCACAUAUUUUGGAAAACGUUUAACCAUUAUCAAAACCCUUGCCUAAGCGACAACAGUUAAAUGCAGCGCAGUUUAAGCCAUUUUAUCUCCCGCCCCAGCCUCAGCUUUGAAUUUCGCCCUUCAAGCGGCAUGUGUGUGAGUGUGUGUGUGUGUACAUAAAUGUGCGC